RNAcentral lists this ribosomal RNA (454 nucleotides) under uncultured bacterium. Its description in RNAcentral is "bacterial SSU rRNA". It matches the Rfam family "Bacterial small subunit ribosomal RNA", at positions 340 to 786 of the family's 1533-position model. The record is from RNAcentral.
UACGGAAGGCAGCAGUGGGGAAUAUUGCACAAUGGGCGCAAGCCUGAUGCAGCCAUGCCGCGUGUAUGAAGAAGGCCUUCGGGUUGUAAAGUACUUUCAGUCGUGAGAAAGGUGUUAAGGUUAAUAACCUUAGCAAUUGACGUUAGCGACAGAAGAAGCACCGGCUAACUCCGUGCCAGCAGCCGCGGUAAUACGGAGGGUGCGAGCGUUAAUCGGAAUUACUGGGCGUAAAGGGCACGCAGGCGGUUAAUUAAGUUGGAUGUGAAAUCCCCGGGCUUAACCUGGGAAUGGCAUUCAAGACUGGUUAGCUAGAGUCUUGUAGAGGGGGUAGAAUUCCAUGUGUAGCGGUGAAAUGCGUAGAGAUGUGGAGGAAUACCGGUGGCGAAGGCGGCCCCUGGACAAAGACUGACGCUCAUGUGCGAAAGCGUGGGGAGCAAACGAGGGAUUAGAUACC